RNAcentral lists this ribosomal RNA (253 nucleotides) under uncultured bacterium. RNAcentral describes it as "partial 16S ribosomal RNA". It matches the Rfam family "Bacterial small subunit ribosomal RNA", at positions 524 to 776 of the family's 1533-position model. The record is from RNAcentral.
UACGAGAGGCCCAAGCGUUAUUCGGAAUUACUGGGCUUAAAGAGUUCGUAGGCGGCAUGACAAGUCGGGUGUGAAAGCCCUCGGCUCAACCGAGGAAUUGCGCUCUAAACUGUCGUGCUUGAGGAACCUAGAGGUGAGCAGAACAGAUGGUGGAGCGGUGAAAUGCGUUGAUAUCAUCUGGAAUACCGGAGGCGAAGGCGGCUCACUGGGAGUUUUCUGACGCUGAGGAACGAAAGCCAGGGUAGCGAACGGG